This 292-nucleotide ribosomal RNA is filed under the name uncultured Microgenomates group bacterium. Its description in RNAcentral is "partial 16S ribosomal RNA". It matches the Rfam family "Bacterial small subunit ribosomal RNA", at positions 369 to 675 of the family's 1533-position model. The record is from RNAcentral.
CAAUGGGCGCAACCCUGAUGGAGCGACACCGCGUGCAGGAUGACGGCCUUCGGGUCGUAAACUGCUUUUCUGGGGGGAUAAUUCUGAAGGUACCCUAGGAAUAAGCACCGGCUAACUCGCGUGCCAGCAGCCGCGGUAAUACGGAGGGUGCAGACGUUACCCGGAAUCAUUGGGCGUAAAGCGUCCGCAGGCGGCAUAAUAAGUCAGAUGAUUAAAUCCUGAGGCUCAACUUUGGGGCUGUGUUUGAAACUAUUAUGCUAGAGUCUUUCAGAGGCGAGUGGAAUUGUCUCAU